Molecule: small nucleolar RNA, 135 nt
Organism: Cercocebus atys (sooty mangabey)
Lineage: Eukaryota; Metazoa; Chordata; Mammalia; Primates; Cercopithecidae
Gene: SNORA70
Rfam family: Small nucleolar RNA SNORA70
About the family: snoRNA U70 seems to be exclusive to mammals and is a member of the H/ACA class of snoRNA which contain H (ANANNA) and ACA box motifs.
Source: Ensembl
CUGCAGCCAAUUAAGCCGACUGUGUUCCUUUCCUCAUGGGGGCUCAGUGUGCAAUGGCUGCACACAGUAGCUUCCUUGGUAGUGUACUCAGCCUGUUUCUUGUAUGGGUUGCUCUAAGGGACCUUGGAGACAGGC